Molecule: long non-coding RNA, 3457 nt
Filed under: Triticum aestivum (bread wheat)
Lineage: Eukaryota; Viridiplantae; Streptophyta; Magnoliopsida; Poales; Poaceae
Description: long non-coding RNA (TAES_LNC027500)
Source: RNAcentral
UUUAAAAUACCUUUUCCAUGGCGUCGCCGGCCAUACGUAUACGUCCAUCGCAUUGCUCUUGAAGAGGUUGAGAUGCUUUGUGGAGAGAGACUAUCGCACACACUUGAAGAUCAUCUCCAAACCGAAGGAGGAGCAGGAGAAAAAAAAGGGACUGUCUAUUUUACAACCGGAUGAAAACAAAUUCGCUUUCAGUCAGAUUUUUCCACCAAUUACAGGAUACAAGUGUCUCCUGUCCUGUGUUAGUUCCUACUUGUCCCCGAUUUUAAACACCACCAGCAUCACGAGCUUAAACGGGUCCACACACCAGCAUCAUAAUCUUAACGGGUCCACAUUCCAACUUAUCCAGCUUCCAGCCCGGACAGAAAAUCAACAAAACCGAGCACAGAAAAACCCAAAGUUACAACCAAACUUUGCCAUGUACAUGUGCACUAAACUAGAGCAAAUGAAAAAAAAGGAAAGGACCAGGGUGCUGUCACCUAAUCACACACACACCUAAAUGGACAUGACAAAUCACACUCAGGAGCACUAAAAAUUACAUUGAAACGCUAUAAAAUUACACUAAUAACUCCACUAUAUUUCCACUGUGAUUUCCACUACAAAAAUGCACUGCAGAGGACGGGAAUAAGCACCAACCAAGAGGGCGAUUCCUCCAUGAUCUAUGACAGAAACCUGAAGAUGAUCCACACUGCAGAAGAUGAGGAAACAUAGGUAAACACCCCCCAACUUUGCAAUCACCACAUACUAAGCAUGAUUUAGGCAGAUCUCUCUCCCCUGUCUCUCUACAUCAGAAAUCAAAAGGGCGUCUGUACAUGCUGCAGAGACAAAUAAACCCACUAACAUACUGGAGGGACAAAAAAAUAUGAAUUCUAGUACUUUAAACUAGAACCAGGAAAUUAAGACUAGAUCUAGGAAGAACACUAUAGGAUCCUAUGAGUCUAGGGGUGCAGGCACAGAAAGGUUAGGAAACAAAAUUCCAUAUUAAUUUCAUGAAUUUGAGAACUACUAGGAAGUUUCUGAAUUGAAAACAACAGUUACAGCACAUGGAAAUGAGUAUAAAGAGAUAGGAGAUCACAUGUUCAGGGAGAUAAAAUACAAAAUGUUAGGAGAGUCCUUGAACAAACAGGUUAGAAAUGCUAUAUUUUCAUAAAGCUAGGACUGUAAUUGAGAAACGUUGGCACACACAAACUAUACUCUAAUCAGAAACUUAGAUCAUGAUUACAAAAUAACCCAUCUACAAGAAAGUAAAGAAACUAGGACUAAAUUUUGUAGCUUUGGAACUACAUAGAAAGACCUUCCUUUCCUAAUUGAAGUUCAAAUUGCUACGAACUACUGUUUGUAAAUACAAAUGAGUACACACAUGAAGUAAUGAAAUGAUCAGUUCAUAUCAAUUAAACCUAUGAACUGACAAAAAGGGGCAAACACAUGUACAAGCACACAGUACAUGUUUCAAGAUUAACAGAACAAUGCUUAUAUACAUGUUUACAUUUACAGGUGCUUGCAAUGGAAUCAAAUGGGAUGGGCAAAAGCAUGAAGGGUCACGACCUGUACCUCGAACAUGAUGAAGCUAAGUUCCUUAAUGUAUAUUUCUCUUAUAGCAUUAACAUAUCCUGUGAAAAGAAAACCGAUUCAAUCAUGCUUUUCUAAAUUGGUUCUUGACAACAAAACAGAGUGGAGCAUACUUGUUCACUCAACAAAAUAGUGCAAGUCCACUGAGAGUUACAGUGUAAAUCCAAUAAGAAUUACACUGUAAAAUCCUCAAAGGAUUACAGUGUAAAUCCACUGAGAAUUACACUGUAAAACCCACUAAAAAUUACGGUGUAAGUCCACUGAGAGAUACAGUGUAAAUCCAAUAAGAAAUACACUAAAUAUAAUACAGAAAUAAUCCAGCCCCUACUCAAAUGCAGAUUACAAAAGGGUAAAAAACUGUCCCUACUCGAAAGCAGUAAGGAUUACAGUGUAAAUCCACUGAAAUUACACUCAAUAAAUAUCAAGAGUUACAAUGCAAAAAACACUGAAAAUCAUAGUGUAAAUCCACUAAAAAUUACACUAAAAUAAUCAAGAGUUACAGUGCAAAUUCCACUGAAAAACUACAGUCUAAAUCCACUAAAAACUACACUGGAAAUCCAUUGAAAUUACACUGUAAAAAUCAAGAGUUAGAGUGCAAAUCCACUAAAAAUUACAGUGUAAAUCCACUUAAGCGUACAUUGUAAAUCCACUAAGAAUCCUCUGAACCCAGUAAAGAAUUACAUUACAAAAUGCACUAAGGAUACAUUGAAAAUGCACUGAGAAUUACACUGCAAAAAAUCACCUAAAUUCUAAAGAACUUACACUGUAAAUCCACUGAGAUUGAAGUGUAAAACCACUAAGAAUACACACUAAAAUCCUCACUGUAAUUACACUGAAUUUGACACUGUAAUUACAAUUCAAAAGCACUGUAAUUCCACUGAAAAUGCCCGCAAUAAUUACAUGGAAAAUUCACUGAAACAUACAUUGUACUUAGAAUACAAAUUUUAGUGAAAUUACACUGGAUUUCUAAUAAAAACACAUGAGUUUCAGAGACUGGAACACAGUGUAACCACAUUAAUUAGCUGUGAUUACACUGAUUUUUAUAGUCACACAAACUAUGAGCUAGAUUCAGCAUCUACAUCCAAACAGGAGGGAUCUGUAGCAACAACUACAAGGAGGAUUGUACACACCUAGGAGCAUCUACAACCAACCAGGAGGGAUCCAGCGACAACUGCAAGAUGGAUCCACUAAAGAAAUUGAACACAACUAGGAGCUACUCGUUACAGUGACAACUAGAGCGCAAUCCGGAAGCACAAAAAAACAACAAUAUACAGGAAGGAUCCACCACUACAUAUACAUCAAACGCACACCUGCAACGUUCAAAACAUCUUGGAACCACAGCUACAGAGGGGAACAUACAGGAUUCACCGGAUUUAGAAAAAAUCAAACAGGAAAAACAAGGGGAGGAACAAAGGGGGGAAAGGAUACUUACAAAACCAACCAUGGAUGGAGGAUGAGGAGGGGGACACAGACUCGCAGAUCAACACAGGGAAAAUGAGGAGCUGCCGAAGUCAAGCGAAGCAAAGAAGACAACGCAGCCGGAUCGCCAUCGCAUCGAUUUUGCCUCUCCCUCUGCGCGCGCUUGAGGACAAGGAAGCAGAGGAUGGGAAGGGGGAAGGAGGACUGGACGCCUAACCACCGGCUCGCCCUCGAGAGAUCUGCGACUGAGAUCUCUAGCUAAAAAUCGUCAUGACUCUGCCUCAAGCUCGCGCCGCUCGUUGUGGGGAAUGAAAACGGACAAAGUCAGCAGAGGAGAAAAAGGAAAUAAAAAGAACCCGACUAGGACACUACCCGCCAGGAUUAACGGGUCUCAGGAGAAGUUUGUGGGCCCGAUAACGGACAAAGCACCCCGAGGCGGAAAAAAAGAGAAAAACACGAAUCUUGAGUCGAG